RNAcentral lists this long non-coding RNA (4772 nucleotides) under Mus musculus (house mouse). RNAcentral's name for it is "long non-coding RNA chr2:111182634-111187406". The record is from RNAcentral. Lineage: Eukaryota; Metazoa; Chordata; Mammalia; Rodentia; Muridae.
AUGAAGUUAUAUGUGUUUCUGGUUAACACUGGAACCACGCUGACAUUUGACACUGAGCUAACUGUGCAAACUGUGGCUGAUCUUAAGCAUGUCAUUCAAAGCAAAUACAAGAUUGCUAUUCAGCACCAGGUUCUAGUGGUCAAUGGAGAAGAAUGCAUAGCUGCAGAUCAAAGAGUGUGUACUUACAGCUCUGGGACGGACACAAAUUCAAUUUUUCUUUUUAACAAAGAAAUGAUCUUAUGUGACCGUGCACCUGCUAUUCCUAAAACUACCUUUUCAACAGAAAAUGACAUGGAAAUAAAAGUUGAAGAGUCUUAUGAUGGCUGCAGUUUUCCACACUGUUGCUUCAAGGACACAGCUUGCAGUGGAAAUAUAUGAUGUUUCCAAGAAGCUCUGCUCUUUCUGUGAAGGGCUUGUCCAUGAUGAACAUCUUCAGCACCAAGGCUGGGCUGCAAUCAUGGCCAAUCUGGAGGACUGCUCAAAUUCAUACCAAAAACUUCUUUUCAAGUUUGAAAGUAUUUAUUCUGAUUAUCUUCAAUCCAUAGAAGACAUCAGGUUAAAACUUACUCAUUUAGGAACUGCUGUUUCAGUAAUGGCCAAGAUUCCACUAUUGGAGUGCCUAACCAGACAUAGUUACAGGGAAUGUUUGGGAAGACCGGAUUCUUUGAAUGAACACGAAGGCUCAGAGAAAGCGGAGACGAAAAGAUCUACUGAACUGGUGCUCUCUCCUGAUAUGCCUAGAACAACGAACACAUCCUUAUUAACCUCACUUCACAAGUCAAUGGAGCAUGUAGCUCCAGAUCCCACCGAUACUGAACGUGGCAAAGAACUCAAGGAAUCUUGUCAAAGUACUGUCCGGCAAGAAGAAGCUUCAGUAGAUGCUAAAGACAGUGAUCUGCCUUUUUUUUUUUUUUUAAUGUUUCUGGAUUAAAUUAGACAGACUGGAUAAAUGCUCAAGAUAGACCUAAUGAUGUGGAAUCUCUGGUCAGGAAGUGCUUUGAUUCUAUGAGCAGGCUUGACCCAAAGAUUAUUCAACCAUUUAUGUUAGAAUGCCAUCAAACUAUUGCUAAACUUGAUGAUCAGAAUAUGAAAGCCAUUAAAGGGCUUGAAGAUCGGCUAUAUGCCUUGGAGCAGAUGACUGCUAGCUGUAGCCGGCUGGUAAAUGAACAGAAAGAGCUUGCUCAGGGAUUUUUAGCUAAUCAGAUGAGAGCUGAAAACUUGAAGGAUGCAUCCGUGUUACCUGAUUUGUGUCUGAGUCAUGAAAAUCAACUAAUGAUUAUGUUACAAAACCACAGAAAACUGUUGGAUAUUAAACAGAAGUGUACCACUGCCAAACAAGAGCUAGCAAACAAUCUUCAUGUCAGACUGAAGUUGGUGUUGUUUUGUGAUGCUUCAUGAGGAUCAAGAUGCAGAAAACCUGCAGGCACUGCUCCACCUUGUGAUAGAGCUUUAAGAAAGAGAAUUGUUGAGGCUCUUAGUACAGUUCCUCAGAUGUAUUGCCUAGCUGUUGUUGAGGUUGUAAGGAGAAAAAUGUUCGUUAAACACUACAGAGAGUGGGCUGGUGCUUUAGUCAAAGAUGGAAAACAAUUAUAUGAAGCUGAAAAGUCAAAAAGGGAAUACUUUGGGAAAUUAUUCAGGAAGUCCUUUUUAAGAAAUCAUCUGUUUAAAGGACUGGACUCCUGGCCUUCCUCAUUUUGUACUCAGAAGCCUCGAAAAUUUGACUGUGAACUUCGAGAUAUAUCAUUAAAAGAUUUACAGUUUCUUCAAUCAUUUUGUCCUUCAGAAGUGCAGCCAUUCCUCAGGGUCCCCUUACUUUGUGACUUUGAACCUCUACACCAGCAUGUACUUGCCCUACAUAAUUUGGUAAAAGCAGCACAAAGUUUGGAUGAAAUGUCACAGACUAUUACACAUCUCCUGAAUGAACAAAAGGUAUCCACAAGUCGGGCAUCCCCGCAGUCAGCUGCUUCUCCAAGAAUAGAAAGUACAACAGGUAUUACAGCUACUGCCUCACCAAAAACUCCUCCACUAACUGUUCUGGAUACCUAAUGUCCAGCAGUGUGUCCCUUAGAAGAAUUAUCUCCAGAUAUUAUCGAUGCUCAUACAUUUGAUUUUGAAACCAUUUCUCAUCCAAACACAGAACAAACUGUUCACCAAGCUUCUAUAGACUUGGAUUCAUUAGCAGAAAUCCCCGAGUCUGACUUUAUGGCUGCUGUGAAUGAGUUUGUGAUAGAAGAGAAUUUAUCGUCUUCAAACCCUAUAAGUGAUCCACAAAGUCCAGAAAUGAUGGUGGAGUCACUUUACUCUUCAGUCAUCAAUGCAAUAGAUAGUAGGUGUAUGCAAGAUACAAGUACACGUGGAAACAAGUGCUUUGGGGAUCGGGCUACUCUACAGGUCCAGCUGGAGAAAUGCAGAGCUGCUGCGCAAGACUCUCAAAGCAGUAUACAAACCAUCAAGGAUGAUCUGUGCCAUUUCAGAACAUUUGUACAAAAAGAACAGUGUGACUUAGCAAAUUGUUUAAAAUGCACAGCUGUAGAAAUAAGAAAUAUUGUUGAAAAAGUAAAAUGUUCUCUAGAAAUAGCACUAAAGGAAAAGCAUCAGCAAGAACUCCAAUCUUUAAAAAUUGAGUAUGAAUGUAAACUUGAUGCUCUAGCAAAAGACAGUGAAGAAAAUGUAAAUAAAAUUUUAAAAUUGAAAGAAGAUUUAGUAUCCCUUGUAGAGGCUUCGCAAAAUAAAGACAAUGAAUUCACUUCAGCUAAACAUGAAAAGGAUGCUAUUGUCUGUGUGCAGCAAGAAAAGGAUCAGAAGUUGUUAGAGAUGGAAAAUAUAAGGCAUACUCAAAAUUGUGAAAUUAAAGAACUGAAGCAGUCAUGAGAGAUGGUGUUAGAAGACCUGAAAAAGCUGCAUGAUGAAAAAAUAGAGUCAUUGAGAGCUGAAUUUCAGUGCUUAGAACAAAAUCACCUGAAGGAAUUAGAGAACACACUGCACAUCAGGCACACCCAGGAGUUUGACAAACCACAAUGUGUCUUUGGAGAAAUUUAAAAAAAAAAGAAAAUCAGCAAAGAAUUGACCAGGUGCUAGAAUCUCAUGCCUCAACUAUUCAGGAAAAAGAGCAACAGCUGCAGGAGUUGAAACUCAAAGUUUCUGACUUGUCAAACAUGAGAUAUAAGUUAGAGGUUGAACUUGCACUAAAGGAAGCAGAUACAGAUGAGAUAAAGAUCUUGUUGGAGGAGAGCAGAACACAGCAGAAGGAAAUGCUGAAGUCUUUACUUGAACAAGAGACCGAAAAUUUAAGAACAGAAAUAAGUAAACUAAACCAAAAAAAAUCAUGAUACUAAUGAGAGGUACCAGGUGGGUUUGUCAGUUAAGAGCUUUAAUGACAACUGAAAAAGAUCAGUGCAUUUCGAGUUAAUCAGUAGACAUGAAGAAGAAUCUAAUAUACUCAAGGCUGAAUUAGACAAUGUUACAUCUUUGCAUCACUGAGUGUUUGAAAUAGAAAAAACAAAAAAAAAACAAAAAACUGAAAGAACAAAUAGUUGAAUUGCAGACUAAAUUGAACUCAGAAUUGAGUGCUCUUGAAAAACAAAAAGAAGAAAAAAUAACCCAACAAGAAGAGAAGUAUGAAGCACUUAUGCAGAACCUUGAGAAAGUCAAGGAGAGAUUGGUCAUGAACCACGAGCAAGACAAAGAACAGUUAAUUCAGGAGCUUAAUUUUGAAAAAAACAAAGCGGUUCAAACUGCACUAGAUGAAUUUAAAUUGGAGAGAGAACUUGUUGAGAAAGAGUUAUUAGAAAAAGUUAAACAUCUUGAGAAACAAAUAGCCAAAAGUCCUGCCUUUGAGUCAGCCAGAGAAGAUUCUUCAAGCUUAGCUGCGGAACUUCAAGAGGAACUUCAAGAAGAAAAAGCUAAGUUUCUGGAACAACUUGAAGAACAAGAGAAAAGAAAGAAUGAAAAAAUGCAAAAUGUCAGAACCUCUUUGAUUGCUGAGUAUCAGACCAACUUUAACACAGUCUUAACGAGAGAAAAUGAGGAAAGAAAACAUAAUAAAUGAUCUUUAGUGAUAAGCUAAAAAGUACAAUGCAGCAGCAAGAGCGGGAUAAAGAUUUGAUAGAGUUGCUCUCUGAGGAUCGAGCUCCUUUGCUUGAAGAGAGGAAGCAGCUUGAAGAGGAAGUGAGCAAACUCCGCACUAGCAGUUUUCUUUCCUCAGCACCUGUGGCUGCAGCCCCAGAGCUUUAUAGUGCGUGUGCACCUGAGCUCCCAGGUGAGCCAGAGAGAUCAGUCAUGGAGAAGGCAGAUGAAGGAAGAACGGAUUCAGCAAUGGAGACAAGCAUGAUGUCUGUCCAAGAAAGCAUGUUAUCUGAAGAGAAGCAGAGGAUCAUGCUCCUAGAACGGACAUUGCAGUUGAAAGAAGAAGAAAACAGCGGUUAAAUCAAAGACUCAUGUCUCAGAGUUUGUCCUCAGUCUGUUCAAGGCAUUCUGAAAAAAUAGCCAUUAGAGAUUUUCAGGUGAGAGAUUUGGUUCUCAUCAUCCCAGAUGAGCGGCAUGACAACUAUGUAUUGUUUACUGUUAGUCCUACUUUGUAUUUUCUGAAUUCAGAGUCUCUUCCUGCCCUGGAUCUCAAACCAGCUUCAGGUGCAUCUAGAAGACCCUGGGUCCUUGGGAAAGUAAUGGAAAAGGAGUACUGUCAAGCCAAAAAGGCACAAAACAGAUUUAAAGUUCCUUUGGGGACAAAGUUUUACAGAAUGAAAGCUGUGUCAUGGAAUAAGGAAGUAUAG